This 253-nucleotide ribosomal RNA is filed under the name uncultured bacterium. RNAcentral's name for it is "partial 16S ribosomal RNA". It matches the Rfam family "Bacterial small subunit ribosomal RNA", at positions 524 to 776 of the family's 1533-position model. The record is from RNAcentral.
UACGGAGGGUGCAAACGUUGCUCGGAAUCAUUGGGCGUAAAGCGCACGUAGGCGGCUUUUUAAGUCAGGGGUGAAAUCCUGGAGCUCAACUCCAGAACUGCCUUUGAUACUGAGAAGCUUGAGUCCGGGAGAGGUGAGUGGAACUGCGAGUGUAGAGGUGAAAUUCGUAGAUAUUCGCAAGAACACCAGUGGCGAAGGCGGCUCACUGGCCCGGUACUGACGCUGAGGUGCGAAAGCGUGGGGAGCAAACAGG